RNAcentral lists this long non-coding RNA (361 nucleotides) under Felis catus (domestic cat). RNAcentral's name for it is "lncRNA (ENSFCAG00000052943.1)". Lineage: Eukaryota; Metazoa; Chordata; Mammalia; Carnivora; Felidae. The record is from RNAcentral.
AACAAACUUACCUCCUUAAUGGAGUCCUUUCUAAUUGUAUUUUCACAGGUGUGAUGCUUUUCUGCUUAACACCGUCUUCAGUAAGCUGUCACAUUUUCACUAGGAUGCAGGACUUGAUUUAAAUGCCUGGAGUUUGCCAUUUUCUGUCACAUUUAUGAGAAAUUACCUCCAAAAAUAUGGGACAAAUCAAAGGAAAUAACAGAAUCUCCUCUAAUAACAAUUCAUCACGUCAGAGUCAGCUGUCAGAAAUUGACGAUCCCGAUCAUGUUGUAAGGGUGAAGAAAGGAGCUAAGCAUUGGGGAAGAGGAAAAUACGUCUUUGUUCCCGUGAUAAUUCAAAAUGGCUGGUUAUGGUAAGGAUC